Molecule: long non-coding RNA, 3809 nt
Filed under: Brassica napus (rape)
Lineage: Eukaryota; Viridiplantae; Streptophyta; Magnoliopsida; Brassicales; Brassicaceae
Description: long non-coding RNA (BNAP_LNC018349)
Source: RNAcentral
AACCUCUUUUAGGUAGACGUCUUAGUAAGUCUACCGAAAGUUUUAUUUUUGUUGUCAAAGGUAAAGACGGAGACUACUGGGGAAGUCUGCGUUAGAAAAAAAAUUUGUCUGCUCAAUUGCAAAACUAACCCGUGCGUUGACAAAUAGACUGCAUCGUAAGUCUCCACGGAGGCGUAGACAUACAAAACAGUCUACCGUCGCGACACAGAUCUGAAAAAGAACGAAAACCAUGUAAAUAGUUACCUUUUUCAUGUGUAAAGCUCGUUUCCAACCUUUUCAACCGUCCAAACUCCAAAUAUGAGCAAAAAGAAACAUCUUUGACUAUUCACUAAUGAAGAAACUCGAAAAUAUGAAGUUUGUGAUUAUGAAAAUGAAAGUUAUGAGAGUUUUUUAGAUGGAAAUGUAGAGGAGAUGAGAGGAAAUGAAGUUUUUUUGGUUAGAAUGAGAAAAAAAGUGGUUGAAAACUGAAUUCUUGAGCUUUAGAGCUCAAAAAUUGUGGUUCAUGGUGGUUGGAAAAAUUGAUGAUGAUGACAUUUUUGUAAAUAAGAAAAAAUGGUUAGGGUGUAUUUGGUUUUUUGUUAAUUUCGAAAUUAAUAAAAAAUUAAAUAAAAAUGGCAAUUUUGUGAAUAAUUCAAAAACAUAGGGAUAGUAUGAAAAUUUUAUUGAUGAAUAGUAAUGACAAAAAAAAGAGGUUUGUUUUGGGUUUGACUAGAAAUUGUGGGUUGGUUUUGAAAAACACCCAUAUUUUUUUUCAGUGUGGUUAUUAUCAAAUGUAAUUGUAGAUUUAAAUGUUAAUUAUAUAACAUGAUGUAUGAUAGACGAAGAAUUGUAAAUAAGAGUUUAAGAUUGAAUGAUACAUUGUAAAUAAUCCAAGAUUUUGGGGAAUUUUUUUUUUUUAAAUCACCAAUAGACAGCAUAAGAAACCUAAAAAGGAACAUAGAUAAUAAAGAGAAAAUUCAGAUUUAAAAGAACAAAAACAAACACAAUGCAUUACAAUUUCUGGUUUAAUAAUUUAAAUGAAGCGGAUAUUUUAUAAAUUACACUUUUUUUUUUGAUAAUUCAGAUAAUCCAGACACCCUGGAGGGAACCUGACUAGCGCCUAAGUACACCUCCGCAUUAGGCAUCCAGACAUUUUAUAAAUUACACUUAAUAUAGAUUAUUCAGUUAAUGAUUUAAUUCAUACAAAUAAUUUGAUUAGCAUAUAUGUAUGACUACAACCUAAAAUACAAGUAUAACCUAAGGAAAUUAAUAUCUAAGUUAGUAUUAAAUUGAAAAAAAAAUUGUCGUAAAAAUCACAUAAUAUAAGGUUUUCGUUAAUGGUCAUGCUUUAAUAAGAGAAAUAUCACUAAUAAUUUGAAAUAAUUAAUUAAAUUACUGCGUACAUACUACAAAAUUCUUGGUUUGAAUUAAAUAAUUUAUUUUGUUUUUUUCUCGGCAAAUGGGCUUUACUAAAUUUUGGUAUUGUUUGUUAUUUUAUAUUAUUUAUCACUAUCAUAUUAUAUAGAGAAAUUUCCUAGGAUAACAUUUAUUAAGUUUUUGUCACAAAAAUAGUUUUCAAUGAAGAAAAUGGCCAAAACAAGUUUUAUUAAAGGACAAAAAUAUAUUUAUGCCAUGGGGUUAAAUAAUCUAGACUUAGGGUUUAGAGUUAAGAGCAAGAUUUUGAGGAAAUGGUUUCAAAUUUGUUUUUAAAAAAAUUAAAAUUUUCAAAUAAAAAGAAGUUAUUUUGAUCAUUUUAUUUAUUGAAUGCUAUUUUGUGACAAAAAAACUUUAAAAAUAGUUAUUUGAGAGAAUUUCAAUAUUAUAUAUAUGUAUAUAUAUAUAGCUAUUUUAAUAGGAAAAUUGUCAAAAAUACGACAUUCAUAAUAUCAUUUUUUAUGUUAACUUUAACCACUCUUACGUUAAAAAUAGAAUACCUGUGGUGGUUGUCAAUUUGUAUCCUUUCUACGACAAAGUUACUGCUCCUGGUGGGAUCAGUUUUGAGGAUGGGAUUGAGAACAUCGACAUUGGUGGUCCUGCUAUGAUUAGAGCAGCUGCUAAGGUAUAUAUAUAUAUGCGCAUAUGAAACUUAUUCCUUAUAUUCAUAUCUUGAUGAUAAAUGUUGUUGGACAGAACCACAAAGAUGUCCUCAUCGUUGUUUUGGAGUAUCUCAAAGGAGGUCAGAACGACCAACAAUUCCGCAGCAAACUUGCGUGGAAGGCCUUUCAGCACGUUGCUGCUUAUGAUUCCGCUGUCUCAGAAUGGCUAUGGAAACAGGCUGAGGGACGUAAGUGCUUAUUUUUUAUGUGAUCCUCCUUACACUAGAUCAAUAUUGGUGUCGUUUCGUCUCCGUUUCUUAUCCCCUGUACCGCUACGAGGUUAAUUGAUUCACUGCAACCACGAUUUCUCCUUCAAUGCUUCUUCCCUCCGUUCAAGGCGGUGCAUCUACAACUAUAAAAAGGUUAGUCUACUUGAAAAGUUUUGUUUUCCAAUAAAAUGGCGAACUCACGCUCACAGAGGGUCUGAUUACAGAGGAACUCAAGCGGACAUAGAGAAGCGUUAACGAGAUUGAAGGGAGCAGUGGCCAUGUUGUCGACGGUGAUCAGCAUGUCAAUACUACGUAGAUGGUGAUUCAGGCGGCGGCUACGGCGGCUUUGGGAGUCAGAAACCGCGUGAAGUACAUGCUCGCACUGGUUCCACUCAAUCAGUCUCCCUUCUUCCUCUGUGCCACUCUCCACCUUCCGGUAAAAUCAACAACCUGAUAUCUGUUUUGAUUAUAGUUCAAAACUUUUUAUAUUUGUUGUGAUUAUUUUCCUUUCGAUUUGGUUGUUCUGAUUUUUUUUUGUUCCCUUAUUGUUUCUACCGAAGCUUUAUGUGUUAGUACUGGAUAAAGAGCAUCCCAAUAACAAAUUUGUUGCUUCUCUUUGGGUGGCAUUCUGGGAUCUCUCACAUUUAUCAUAUGGUUUUGAUGAUUUAUACAAUGAAUUGCUUAUUUUGAAAAAAAAACUUGGUCGGUAGAAUACUUUUGGUUCAUACUUUUGUUGAUCUUUUGAUCUUUUCGGUGGGUAAAGAAUGUGAUACUAAUACCACAAUACAUGUUCUUGGUACUUUCUAUGCAGAAGUUAAGACACAUGAUCGGAAAAAGAACGCAAGAUGUUGCAGUGAAAUUGCAGAAAAAGAUGGAACAGAGUGUUGAAAUUCUCAAAUUGAAGAUCUCACCGGCAGUCACGGCGGAGAAGAAGGGCACCACUAUGAACUACCGUAUGAACCGCAUAAUGAAUAUCUCCUACAACCUGAUCACAUGACCACGCCACUGUUGUGUUAGUUAUCUUUCGUUCAUUUGCUCUUUUAUCCUCCAAACUGUAUAAACAACAGAAGAAACAAGUUUGUAUAUACAUAAAUUCACAAUCCAUGACACAUGCUACACAUAAUAUUUAUAGUUUGAUUGAUGUUGGUUAUGUCAAUACAAAAUACAAUUUUUUUUAAAUACAAAUUCUGUCAUUUUUUGGGACGUGAUGUUGUAAACUAAUGCUUAAAUUGUUUUUAUUUUAAUGGAUUUACACAAAUAAAUAUUUUAAUUGUCAUAUUAUGAUGACAUAAGAAAAAUUAUCAAAUUUUAAUAUAUUGAAAUAUUAAAAAAAAAAUAUAAAGAUAACUCCAGUAUAACAAAACAUUUUAUUUUUGUUGUCAAAGGUAAAGACGGAGACUACUAGGGAAGUCUGCGUUAGAAAAAAAAUUUGUCUGGUCAAUUGCAAAACUAACCCGUGCGUUGACAAAUAGACUGCAUCGUAAGUCUCCACGGAGGCGUAGACAUACAAAACAGUCUACCGUCG